RNAcentral lists this ribosomal RNA (312 nucleotides) under uncultured Glomus. RNAcentral describes it as "SSU rRNA". It matches the Rfam family "Eukaryotic small subunit ribosomal RNA", at positions 570 to 886 of the family's 1831-position model. Lineage: Eukaryota; Fungi; Glomeromycota; Glomeromycetes; Glomerales; Glomeraceae. The record is from RNAcentral.
GCAGCCGCGGUAAUUCCAGCUCCAAUAGCGUAUAUUAAAGUUGUUGCAGUUAAAAAGCUCGUAGUUGAAUUUCGGGAUCAGCAGGUUGGUCGUGCCACUGGUAUGAACUGGCUUCGCUGGUUCCUCCUUUCUGAAGAACUGUAAUGCCAUUAAUUUGGUGUUGCAGGGAAACAGGACUGUUACUUUGAAAAAAUUAGAGUGUUUAAAGCAAGCUAACGCUUGAAUACAUUAGCAUGGAAUAAUGAAAUAGGACGUUCGAUCCUAUUUUGUUGGUUUCUAGGAUUGACGUAAUGAUUAAUAGGGAUAGUUGGG